RNAcentral lists this ribosomal RNA (713 nucleotides) under uncultured fungus. RNAcentral describes it as "eukaryotic LSU rRNA". The stretch from base 180 to 333 matches the Rfam family "5.8S ribosomal RNA". Lineage: Eukaryota; Fungi. The record is from RNAcentral.
UGCACCGGCGGAGACGCCGUGCUGCGGGCUCCCGGUCGCCCCUUCCAAACCAAACCCCUGUGCACCCUUGGGAAGGCCGGUUGGCGGUUCGUCCGCUGUUGCCGGUCGGCCCCUUUUCUCACAAGCUCUUUGUCUUGUUCAGAAUGACUGCGGACAUCGUCUGUCUAAAAUCUAAUAACAACUUUCAACAACGGAUCUCUUGGCUCUCGCAUCGAUGAAGAACGCAGCGAAAUGCGAUAAGUAAUGUGAAUUGCAGAAUGCAGUGAAUCAUCGAAUCUUUGAACGCACCUUGCGCCCUUUGGUAUUCCGAUGGGCAUGCCUGUUUGAGUGUCUUGAAUUCAUCGCGACCCCGGGUUUUUCACCGAACCCGGGGCCCGCGGAAGUGGGGGCCUCUGCCGCGGCGACGCGGCUCCCCCGGAAUGCAUUGGUGGGGUCUUCCGGACAUCCCGGGCGUUGUAACCUCCUCGUCCGACCACGGGUGCCUCCGCGUCCCCCGCCCCGACCCACCCGCUCCGUGCGGCGGUCAAACAAACCUUUGAAAUCUGACCUCAAAUCAGGUAGGACUACCCGCUGAACUUAAGCAUAUCAAUAAGCGGAGGAAAAGAAACUAACAAGGAUUCCCCUAGUAACUGCGAGUGAAGCGGGAAGAGCUCAAAUUUGAAAUCUGGCGGUUCUGCCGUCCGAGUUGUAAUCUGGAGAAGCGUUUUCCGCGC